GGGUUGUGAGGUUAAGCGACUAAGCGUACACGGUGGAUGCCCUGGCAGUCAGAGGCGAUGAAGGACGUGCUAAUCUGCGAUAAGCGUCGGUAAGGUGAUAUGAACCGUUAUAACCGGCGAUUUCCGAAUGGGGAAACCCAGUGUGAUUCGUCACACUAUCAUUAACUGAAUCCAUAGGUUAAUGAGGCGAACCGGGGGAACUGAAACAUCUAAGUACCCCGAGGAAAAGAAAUCAACCGAGAUUCCCCCAGUAGCGGCGAGCGAACGGGGAGCAGCCCAGAGCCUGAAUCAGUGUGUGUGUUAGUGGAAGCGUCUGGAAAGGCGCGCGAUACAGGGUGACAGCCCCGUACACAAAAAUGCACAUGCUGUGAGCUCGAUGAGUAGGGCGGGACACGUGGUAUCCUGUCUGAAUAUGGGGGGACCAUCCUCCAAGGCUAAAUACUCCUGACUGACCGAUAGUGAACCAGUACCGUGAGGGAAAGGCGAAAAGAACCCCGGCGAGGGGAGUGAAAAAGAACCUGAAACCGUGUACGUACAAGCAGUGGGAGCACGCUUAGGCGUGUGACUGCGUACCUUUUGUAUAAUGGGUCAGCGACUUAUAUUCUGUAGCAAGGUUAACCGAAUAGGGGAGCCGAAGGGAAACCGAGUCUUAACUGGGCGUUAAGUUGCAGGGUAUAGACCCGAAACCCGGUGAUCUAGCCAUGGGCAGGUUGAAGGUUGGGUAACACUAACUGGAGGACCGAACCGACUAAUGUUGAAAAAUUAGCGGAUGACUUGUGGCUGGGGGUGAAAGGCCAAUCAAACCGGGAGAUAGCUGGUUCUCCCCGAAAGCUAUUUAGGUAGCGCCUCGUGAAUUCAUCUCCGGGGGUAGAGCACUGUUUCGGCAAGGGGGUCAUCCCGACUUACCAACCCGAUGCAAACUGCGAAUACCGGAGAAUGUUAUCACGGGAGACACACGGCGGGUGCUAACGUCCGUCGUGAAGAGGGAAACAACCCAGACCGCCAGCUAAGGUCCCAAAGUCAUGGUUAAGUGGGAAACGAUGUGGGAAGGCCCAGACAGCCAGGAUGUUGGCUUAGAAGCAGCCAUCAUUUAAAGAAAGCGUAAUAGCUCACUGGUCGAGUCGGCCUGCGCGGAAGAUGUAACGGGGCUAAACCAUGCACCGAAGCUGCGGCAGCGACGCUUAUGCGUUGUUGGGUAGGGGAGCGUUCUGUAAGCCUGCGAAGGUGUGCUGUGAGGCAUGCUGGAGGUAUCAGAAGUGCGAAUGCUGACAUAAGUAACGAUAAAGCGGGUGAAAAGCCCGCUCGCCGGAAGACCAAGGGUUCCUGUCCAACGUUAAUCGGGGCAGGGUGAGUCGACCCCUAAGGCGAGGCCGAAAGGCGUAGUCGAUGGGAAACAGGUUAAUAUUCCUGUACUUGGUGUUACUGCGAAGGGGGGACGGAGAAGGCUAUGUUGGCCGGGCGACGGUUGUCCCGGUUUAAGCGUGUAGGCUGGUUUUCCAGGCAAAUCCGGAAAAUCAAGGCUGAGGCGUGAUGACGAGGCACUACGGUGCUGAAGCAACAAAUGCCCUGCUUCCAGGAAAAGCCUCUAAGCAUCAGGUAACAUCAAAUCGUACCCCAAACCGACACAGGUGGUCAGGUAGAGAAUACCAAGGCGCUUGAGAGAACUCGGGUGAAGGAACUAGGCAAAAUGGUGCCGUAACUUCGGGAGAAGGCACGCUGAUAUGUAGGUGAAGUCCCUCGCGGAUGGAGCUGAAAUCAGUCGAAGAUACCAGCUGGCUGCAACUGUUUAUUAAAAACACAGCACUGUGCAAACACGAAAGUGGACGUAUACGGUGUGACGCCUGCCCGGUGCCGGAAGGUUAAUUGAUGGGGUCAGCGCAAGCGAAGCUCUUGAUCGAAGCCCCGGUAAACGGCGGCCGUAACUAUAACGGUCCUAAGGUAGCGAAAUUCCUUGUCGGGUAAGUUCCGACCUGCACGAAUGGCGUAAUGAUGGCCAGGCUGUCUCCACCCGAGACUCAGUGAAAUUGAACUCGCUGUGAAGAUGCAGUGUACCCGCGGCAAGACGGAAAGACCCCGUGAACCUUUACUAUAGCUUGACACUGAACAUUGAGCCUUGAUGUGUAGGAUAGGUGGGAGGCUU
Molecule: ribosomal RNA, 2140 nt
Filed under: Escherichia coli
Lineage: Bacteria; Pseudomonadati; Pseudomonadota; Gammaproteobacteria; Enterobacterales; Enterobacteriaceae
Description: partial 23S ribosomal RNA
Rfam family: Bacterial large subunit ribosomal RNA
Source: RNAcentral